CUUUCUUUGCUGACGAGCGGCGGACGGGUGAGUAAUGCCUGGGAAAUUGCCCUGAUGUGGGGGAUAACCAUUGGAAACGAUGGCUAAUACCGCAUGAUGCCUACGGGCCAAAGAGGGGGACCUUCGGGCCUCUCGCGUCAGGAUAUGCCCAGGUGGGAUUAGCUAGUUGGUGAGGUAAUGGCUCACCAAGGCGACGAUCCCUAGCUGGUCUGAGAGGAUGAUCAGCCACACUGGAACUGAGACACGGUCCAGACUCCUACGGGAGGCAGCAGUGGGGAAUAUUGCACAAUGGGCGCAAGCCUGAUGCAGCCAUGCCGCGUGUAUGAAGAAGGCCUUCGGGUUGUAAAGUACUUUCAGUCGUGAGGAAGGGGGUAUCGUUAAUAGCGGUAUUCUUUGACGUUAGCGACAGAAGAAGCACCGGCUAACUCCGUGCCAGCAGCCGCGGUAAUACGGAGGGUGCGAGCGUUAAUCGGAAUUACUGGGCGUAAAGCGCAUGCAGGUGGUUUGUUAAGUCAGAUGUGAAAGCCCGGGGCUCAACCUCGGAGUUGCAUUUGAAACUGGCAGGCUAGAGUACUGUAGAGGGGGGUAGAAUUUCAGGUGUAGCGGUGAAAUGCGUAGAGAUCUGAAGGAAUACCGGUGGCGAAGGCGGCCCCCUGGACAGAUACUGACAC
Molecule: ribosomal RNA, 671 nt
Filed under: Vibrio sp. QHL03
Lineage: Bacteria; Pseudomonadati; Pseudomonadota; Gammaproteobacteria; Vibrionales; Vibrionaceae
Description: bacterial SSU rRNA
Rfam family: Bacterial small subunit ribosomal RNA
Source: RNAcentral